This 109-nucleotide ribosomal RNA is filed under the name Helicobacter pylori. Its description in RNAcentral is "partial 16S ribosomal RNA". It matches the Rfam family "Bacterial small subunit ribosomal RNA", at positions 1424 to 1533 of the family's 1533-position model. Lineage: Bacteria; Pseudomonadati; Campylobacterota; Epsilonproteobacteria; Campylobacterales; Helicobacteraceae. The record is from RNAcentral.
AAGUCAGGAUGCUAAAUUGGCUACUGCCCACGGCACACACAGCGACUGGGGUGAAGUCGUAACAAGGUAACCGUAGGUGAACCUGCGGUUGGAUCACCUCCUUUCUAGA